Non-coding RNA from Pangasianodon gigas (Mekong giant catfish), 88 nucleotides. The record is from the annotation of a GenBank genome assembly. Lineage: Eukaryota; Metazoa; Chordata; Actinopteri; Siluriformes; Pangasiidae.
ACAGUCGUGGCCUAAUGGUUAAAGAGUCGGACUUGUAACCCGAAGGUGAACCCGAAGGUCGUGGGUUCGAGUCUCAGGUCCGGCAGGG